RNAcentral lists this ribosomal RNA (303 nucleotides) under Escherichia coli. RNAcentral's name for it is "bacterial LSU rRNA". It matches the Rfam family "Bacterial large subunit ribosomal RNA", at positions 2062 to 2364 of the family's 2925-position model. Lineage: Bacteria; Pseudomonadati; Pseudomonadota; Gammaproteobacteria; Enterobacterales; Enterobacteriaceae. The record is from RNAcentral.
CAGUGUACCCGCGGCAAGACGGAAAGACCCCGUGAACCUUUACUAUAGCUUGACACUGAACAUUGAGCCUUGAUGUGUAGGAUAGGUGGGAGGCUUGGAAGUGUGGACGCCAGUCUGCAUGGAGCCGACCUUGAAAUACCACCCUUUAAUGUUUGAUGUUCUAACGUUGACCCGUAAUCCGGGUUGCGGACAGUGUCUGGUGGGUAGUUUGACUGGGGCGGUCUCCUCCUAAAGAGUAACGGAGGAGCACGAAGGUUGGCUAAUCCUGGUCGGACAUCAGGAGGUUAGUGCAAUGGCAUAAGC